UACGUAGGUGGCAAGCGUUGUCCGGAUUUACUGGGCGUAAAGAGCGCGCAGGCGGUCGUUCAAGUCGCGUGUGAAAGCCCCCGGCUCAACUGGGGAGGGUCACGCGAUACUGAUCGACUCGAAGGCAGGAGAGGGAAGUGGAAUUCCCGGUGUAGUGGUGAAAUGCGUAGAGAUCCGGAGGAACCCCAGAGGCGAAGGCGGCGCCCUGGCUCGCAACUGACGCUCAGACACGACAGCAUGGGGAGCGAACGGG
RNAcentral lists this ribosomal RNA (253 nucleotides) under uncultured bacterium. RNAcentral describes it as "partial 16S ribosomal RNA". It matches the Rfam family "Bacterial small subunit ribosomal RNA", at positions 524 to 776 of the family's 1533-position model. The record is from RNAcentral.